GUGUCAGCCGCCGCGGUAAGACGGAGGAUGCAAGCGUUAUCCGGAAUGAUUGGGCGUAAAGCGUCCGCAGGUGGCAAUUCAAGUCUGCUGUUAAAGCGCAGGGCCUAACUCUGUAAAGGCAGUGGAAACUGAAUCGCUAGCGUGUGGUAGGGGCAGAGGGAAUUCCCAGUGUAGCGGUGAAAUGCGUAGAGAUUGGGAAGAACAUCGGUGGCGAAGGCGCUCUGCUGGACCAUAACUGACACGCACAGGACGAAAGCUAGGGGAGCGAAUGGGAUUAGAUACCCCAGUAGUCCUAGCCGUAAACGAUGGAUACUAGGUGUUGUCUGUAUCGACCCGGACAGUGCCGUAGCUAACGCGUUAAGUAUCCCGCCUGGGGAGUACGCACGCAAGUGUGAAACUCAAAUGAAUUGGCGGGG
This 416-nucleotide ribosomal RNA is filed under the name uncultured cyanobacterium. Its description in RNAcentral is "bacterial SSU rRNA". It matches the Rfam family "Bacterial small subunit ribosomal RNA", at positions 505 to 918 of the family's 1533-position model. The record is from RNAcentral. Lineage: Bacteria; Bacillati; Cyanobacteriota.